UGAUAUCCCAUAUCUGGAAAGCAGUGA
RNAcentral lists this non-coding RNA (27 nucleotides) under Rattus norvegicus (Norway rat). The record is from RNAcentral. Lineage: Eukaryota; Metazoa; Chordata; Mammalia; Rodentia; Muridae.